Molecule: ribosomal RNA, 482 nt
Filed under: uncultured bacterium
Lineage: Bacteria
Description: partial 16S ribosomal RNA
Rfam family: Bacterial small subunit ribosomal RNA
Source: RNAcentral
AUUGAACGCUGGCGGCAUGCUUUACACAUGCAAGUCGAACGGUAACAGGCCGCAAGGUGCUGACGAGUGGCGAACGGGUGAGUAAUGCAUCGGAACGUGCCCAGUCGUGGGGGAUAACUACUCGAAAGAGUAGCUAAUACCGCAUACGAUCUAUGGAUGAAAGCGGGGGACCGUAAGGCCUCGCGCGCUUGGAGCGGCCGAUGUCAGAUUAGGUAGUUGGUGGGGUAAAGGCUCACCAAGCCAACGAUCCGAAGCUGGUCUGAGAGGAUAACCAGCCAAACUGGGACUGAGACACGGCCCAGACUCCUACGGGAGGCAGCAGUGGGGAAUUUUGGACAAUGGGCGCAAGCCUGAUCCAGCAAUGCCGCGUGCAGGAAGAAGGCCUUCGGGUUGUAAACUGCUUUUGUACGGAACGAAACGGCUCUGGUUAAUACCCGGGGCUAAUGACGGUACCGUAAGAAUAAGCACCGGCUAACUACGUG